AAUACCGAACUUCUACGAGAUCGAAUCAGAAAACCACGAACUCGAUCAAAGCAUACACAAGAAAUUACAAGCGCAUCAAGAAUGAAGAAAUUUUUCGCAGUCCUUUGCAUUGCCCUUCUAGUUAUUUCCGUUGCAUCAGUCUGCAAACCACCAGGCGUAGUUUGCUCGAGUGACGCAGAUUGCUGUCCAACGUUGCAAUGCAACCCAUGGGCUGGCCGGUGCACUAAGAAACCCGGUCCACCAAGCUCUUCAAACCCACCCAGUGAUCCAGCCGAGCCACCUGCUGGUGAUGCCAUGUGAAUAAAUGAUUGAUCCAUAUUGAUUGUACUUCGUAGGCCUACGAAUUUCUUUAUAAUUUGCUUAUACGAAUAUAUGCAUUAUAUUUACAAUAUUAACGCAGCAUUUACAAUACACGAU
This is a non-coding RNA of Nomia melanderi (Alkali bee), 417 nucleotides long. The record is from RefSeq and is a predicted model, not a curated record. NCBI's taxonomy places the organism in Eukaryota, Metazoa, Arthropoda, Insecta, Hymenoptera, Halictidae.